Molecule: ribosomal RNA, 2817 nt
Filed under: Klebsiella quasipneumoniae subsp. similipneumoniae
Lineage: Bacteria; Pseudomonadati; Pseudomonadota; Gammaproteobacteria; Enterobacterales; Enterobacteriaceae
Description: partial 23S ribosomal RNA
Rfam family: Bacterial large subunit ribosomal RNA
Source: RNAcentral
GGUUAAGCGACUAAGCGUACACGGUGGAUGCCCUGGCAGUCAGAGGCGAUGAAGGACGUGCUAAUCUGCGAAAAGCGUCGGUAAGGUGAUAUGAACCGUUAUAACCGGCGAUGUCCGAAUGGGGAAACCCAGUGUGAUUCGUCACACUAUCGUUAACUGAAUACAUAGGUUAACGAGGCGAACCGGGGGAACUGAAACAUCUAAGUACCCCGAGGAAAAGAAAUCAACCGAGAUUCCCCCAGUAGCGGCGAGCGAACGGGGAGCAGCCCAGAGUCUGAAUCAGCUUGUGUGUUAGUGGAACGGUCUGGAAAGUCCGACGGUACAGGGUGAUAGUCCCGUACACCAAAAUGCACAGGUUGUGAACUCGAAGAGUAGGGCGGGACACGUGGUAUCCUGUCUGAAUAUGGGGGGACCAUCCUCCAAGGCUAAAUACUCCUGACUGACCGAUAGUGAACCAGUACCGUGAGGGAAAGGCGAAAAGAACCCCGGCGAGGGGAGUGAAAAAGAACCUGAAACCGUGUACGUACAAGCAGUGGGAGCACCUUUAUGGUGUGACUGCGUACCUUUUGUAUAAUGGGUCAGCGACUUAUAUUCUGUAGCAAGGUUAACCGUAUAGGGGAGCCGCAGGGAAACCGAGUCUUAACUGGGCGUUAAGUUGCAGGGUAUAGACCCGAAACCCGGUGAUCUAGCCAUGGGCAGGUUGAAGGUUGGGUAACACUAACUGGAGGACCGAACCGACUAAUGUUGAAAAAUUAGCGGAUGACUUGUGGCUGGGGGUGAAAGGCCAAUCAAACCGGGAGAUAGCUGGUUCUCCCCGAAAGCUAUUUAGGUAGCGCCUCGUGAACUCAUCUUCGGGGGUAGAGCACUGUUUCGGCUAGGGGGUCAUCCCGACUUACCAACCCGAUGCAAACUACGAAUACCGAAGAAUGUUAUCACGGGAGACACACGGCGGGUGCUAACGUCCGUCGUGAAGAGGGAAACAACCCAGACCGCCAGCUAAGGUCCCAAAGUCAUGGUUAAGUGGGAAACGAUGUGGGAAGGCACAGACAGCCAGGAUGUUGGCUUAGAAGCAGCCAUCAUUUAAAGAAAGCGUAAUAGCUCACUGGUCGAGUCGGCCUGCGCGGAAGAUGUAACGGGGCUAAACCAUGCACCGAAGCUGCGGCAGCGACACUAUGUGUUGUUGGGUAGGGGAGCGUUCUGUAAGCCUGCGAAGGUGACCUGUGAGGGUUGCUGGAGGUAUCAGAAGUGCGAAUGCUGACAUAAGUAACGAUAAAGCGGGUGAAAAGCCCGCUCGCCGGAAGACCAAGGGUUCCUGUCCAACGUUAAUCGGGGCAGGGUGAGUCGACCCCUAAGGCGAGGCCGAAAGGCGUAGUCGAUGGGAAACAGGUUAAUAUUCCUGUACUUGGUGUUACUGCGAAGGGGGGACGGAGAAGGCUAUGUUAGCCGGGCGACGGUUGUCCCGGUUUAAGCAUGUAGGCUGGUUAUCCAGGCAAAUCCGGAUAAUCAAGGCUGAGGUGUGAUGACGAGGUACUACGGUGCUGAAGUAACAAAUGCCCUGCUUCCAGGAAAAGCCUCUAAGCAUCAGGUAACAUCAAAUCGUACCCCAAACCGACACAGGUGGUCAGGUAGAGAAUACCAAGGCGCUUGAGAGAACUCGGGUGAAGGAACUAGGCAAAAUGGUGCCGUAACUUCGGGAGAAGGCACGCUGGUGUGUAGGUGAAGUCCCUGCGGAUGGAGCUGAGACCAGUCGAAGAUACCAGCUGGCUGCAACUGUUUAUUAAAAACACAGCACUGUGCAAACACGAAAGUGGACGUAUACGGUGUGACGCCUGCCCGGUGCCGGAAGGUUAAUUGAUGGGGUUAUCCGUAAGGAGAAGCUCUUGAUCGAAGCCCCGGUAAACGGCGGCCGUAACUAUAACGGUCCUAAGGUAGCGAAAUUCCUUGUCGGGUAAGUUCCGACCUGCACGAAUGGCGUAAUGAUGGCCAGGCUGUCUCCACCCGAGACUCAGUGAAAUUGAACUCGCUGUGAAGAUGCAGUGUACCCGCGGCAAGACGGAAAGACCCCGUGAACCUUUACUAUAGCUUGACACUGAACAUUGAGCCUUGAUGUGUAGGAUAGGUGGGAGGCUUUGAAGCGUGGACGCCAGUCUGCGUGGAGCCAACCUUGAAAUACCACCCUUUAAUGUUUGAUGUUCUAACGUUGGCCCCUUAUCGGGGUUGCGGACAGUGUCUGGUGGGUAGUUUGACUGGGGCGGUCUCCUCCCAAAGCGUAACGGAGGAGCACGAAGGUUAGCUAAUCCUGGUCGGACAUCAGGAGGUUAGUGCAAUGGCAUAAGCUAGCUUGACUGCGAGCGUGACGGCGCGAGCAGGUGCGAAAGCAGGUCAUAGUGAUCCGGUGGUUCUGAAUGGAAGGGCCAUCGCUCAACGGAUAAAAGGUACUCCGGGGAUAACAGGCUGAUACCGCCCAAGAGUUCAUAUCGACGGCGGUGUUUGGCACCUCGAUGUCGGCUCAUCACAUCCUGGGGCUGAAGUAGGUCCCAAGGGUAUGGCUGUUCGCCAUUUAAAGUGGUACGCGAGCUGGGUUUAGAACGUCGUGAGACAGUUCGGUCCCUAUCUGCCGUGGGCGCUGGAGAAUUGAGGGGGGCUGCUCCUAGUACGAGAGGACCGGAGUGGACGCAUCACUGGUGUUCGGGUUGUCAUGCCAAUGGCACUGCCCGGUAGCUAAAUGCGGAAGAGAUAAGUGCUGAAAGCAUCUAAGCACGAAACUUGCCCCGAGAUGAGUUCUCCCUGAGACUUUAAGUCUCCUGAAGGAACGUU